Molecule: transfer RNA, 68 nt
Filed under: Mus terricolor (Earth-colored mouse)
Lineage: Eukaryota; Metazoa; Chordata; Mammalia; Rodentia; Muridae
Description: tRNA-Pro
Source: RNAcentral
CAAGAAGUAGUUCACCCCGACUAUCAGCUUUGGGUGCUGAUGGUGGGGAAUAGGUUCCUUCUUCUUGA